GCAUAUCAAUAAGCGGAGGAAAAGAAACCAACAGGGAUUGCCCUAGUAACGGCGAGUGAAGCGGCAACAGCUCAAAUUUGAAAUCUGGCGUCUUUGGCGUCCGAGUUGUAAUUUGCAGAGGGCGCUUUGGCAUUGGCAGCGGUCCAAGUUCCUUGGAACAGGACGUCACAGAGGGUGAGAAUCCCGUACGUGGUCGCUAGCCUUUACCGUGUAAAGCCCCUUCGACGAGUCGAGUUGUUUGGGAAUGCAGCUCUAAAUGGGAGGUAAAUUUCUUCUAAAGCUAAAUACUGGCCAGAGACCGAUAGCGCACAAGUAGAGUGAUCGAAAGAUGAAAAGCACUUUGGAAAGAGAGUUAAAAAGCACGUGAAAUUGUUGAAAGGGAAGCGCUUGCAGCCAGACUUGCCUGUAGUUGCUCAUCCGGGUUUCUACCCGGUGCACUCUUCUAUAGGCAGGCCAGCAUCAGUUUGGGCGGUUAGAUAAAGGUCUCUGUCAUGUACCUCCUUUCGGGGAGAACUUAUAGGGGAGACGACAUGUAACCAGCCUGGACUGAGGUCCGCGCAUCUGCUAGGA
RNAcentral lists this ribosomal RNA (570 nucleotides) under Epicoccum huancayense. RNAcentral's name for it is "eukaryotic LSU rRNA". It matches the Rfam family "Eukaryotic large subunit ribosomal RNA", at positions 38 to 623 of the family's 3401-position model. Lineage: Eukaryota; Fungi; Ascomycota; Dothideomycetes; Pleosporales; Didymellaceae. The record is from RNAcentral.